Molecule: long non-coding RNA, 1183 nt
Filed under: Homo sapiens (human)
Lineage: Eukaryota; Metazoa; Chordata; Mammalia; Primates; Hominidae
Description: non-protein coding lnc-BMP6-106:41
Source: RNAcentral
UCCCGCGCAUGCUCUAUGGGGUAGAGACGCUAGGCCGGCACUGCCUAGGUGGGCCGGGCGGUGCGAGGGUCGCCUUUCAGCCUUUACCUCUACCCACUGAAAUGGAGUAGGUCGGUGAGCGCCGAUCUGCUGGAGAAUCUCAUUAUCCCAUCGGCGCUCUGCCUGCUCCUGGCCUCCAAGCCUCUGAAGCCCCUCGGGUUUCAGCUGCCGGCUACCCUCGAGCCCGUGGUGCCCACGAGAGAGGCGACUUUACGUCAGCGGCCCUGGGCUGAGAUUUGAGAACGCGACCAAGUGGAGAAUGUUGGAGCCAGAUUUUAAAAUCCUUGUCUUCCUUCUGCGUGCUACUUGAUCUAAAUGAGAUACGGCAAAGUCACAGAACCUGUUUUUAUGUUUUUGCCUGAUUCAUACGGGCUUCUCCGGUGAAGAUGGGCCUGAAGUAACGCUUGGGUUGCUUCUGACGUUAUAACUCAUCCUGUAGCUGCAGCAACCGUGGUCCUUGCAACCUCAUAAAAAUGUUGCCAGCAUUGUUUCGAUAGUGCUGCUUAAUUCUUGGAAGGCCUCUUUGCUUUCUUCCCUGAGGUUCUUCGGACUUCACACAUUCCAGCAGUAGCUCUCUCAGCUCCUGUCCUGCACAGCUUUGAAGUGCUGGUGAUGUCAUUGAACUCUUAAGUGCAAGAUGAAACAAGUCUUUCUGGGGUUCUAAGUAGGACACAGCCCUGGUGAUGGCUUUCUGAGGAUGACACGAUGGAGGCUUCUCCAAUAGCUCUAAAACUGCGGUGUGGAAAACAUUCGGCAGCCUCAAAGAGCGGUCUUGUUGACCCCAACUAUAUCAUUUUUCAUCAAAAUCAUUCUUGUAAAGAAUGACCAGGCAACACUCUUUGAAAAUUGGAGGCCAUUUGCAGCUGCUCUCUGUUGAGGAAAGUGAAUAAUAGGGUGCCCUCAAGGAAUUGCAAAGGUAUCACUCAACAGAAACUUUCGUGUCUGAAGAAAACUAGAUCAUUUUAUCAUGGUAGGCAUGCUGAUAUGUUUGCUUUAAUAAAAUGCCAUAUUUCUGCCUUUAAUCUCUUGUCAACCCGCUAUUAAAAAGCCCCAAAGUGCAUGUGUGCAGCGCAUGUAAACACUUGUGGUUUUGAGGUUACCACAGAACAUACUAAUAAAGCAUGUAAUUUGUGUUUUGUGCACA